CCUAAUUCGUUGGUGUCUUGACGUUACCCCUACAGAAUAAGCCCCGGCUAACUCUGUGCCAGCAGCCGCGGUAAUACAGAGGGUGCAAGCGUUAAUCGGAAUUACUGGGCGUAAAGCGCGCGUAGGUGGUUUGUUAAGUUGGAUGUGAAAUCCCCGGGCUCAACCUGGGAACUGCAUUCAAAACUGACAAGCUAGAGUAUGGUAGAGGGUGGUGGAAUUUCCUGUGUAGCGGUGAAAUGCGUAUAUAUAGGAAGGAACACCAGUGGCGAAGGCGACCACCUGGACUGAUACUGACACUGAGGUGCGAAAGCGUGGGGAGCAAACAGGAUUAUAUCCCCUGGUAGUCCACGCCGUAAACCAUGUUACUAUCCGUUGGGACCCUUGAGCUC
Molecule: ribosomal RNA, 389 nt
Filed under: Pseudomonas sp. G8
Lineage: Bacteria; Pseudomonadati; Pseudomonadota; Gammaproteobacteria; Pseudomonadales; Pseudomonadaceae
Description: bacterial SSU rRNA
Rfam family: Bacterial small subunit ribosomal RNA
Source: RNAcentral